AGCGUGUGCUCUACGUCAGUGUUCCCGGAACACGUGAAAAUAUUGUGUCAAGUGUCAUGCCUCUCACUAAACAGAACAGUAAGUAUCAGUCGUCACCCUCUAAAUGUUAAUUUAAACAUCUGAGACUGUGGAGUAAAUGUGUGAGGCAGGAUUAACCCUGUAACGUAACAUUUUUAUUCAAACUGUCUCCAGUUAUGCCGACGUCUCCUGUUAAAGUGCGCAUCCCACUCACCAGCCUGGGUCAUCUCGUAACAGAGGUGAAGAAGCAGCUGUUUGGCAUUGAAGCCCCUGCUUCUGUGGAACUGACUGGUUUGAGGAAAUACUUUAAUAGCUACACUCUGCAGGGUCGCAGAAAUUGUGUCUUGGUUACCUACGGGAUCGUUGCUGUAACAGCAGCUGCCUACUGGAUGCACAAACAACACAAAGAAGAAAACCAGGAGUCCAACUCCACGGCCUGAAACAUCAACCUCCGUACAGUGACGUUUAUGUUCCCUAAUGAUAUGAACAAACGGAAGGAAACAAUGUAACAUUACCUCCCAGUGUAAGGAAGCUGAAUGAGGGGAAAAUGCUUGAAACAUUCAUUUAAAUAAAGAAUGAUUAUUUUGUGUAUUUCAUUAUUUGCCAUGCCCAUAUUUUUGUCAUAACGUCUGAAGUUGUUAGUGUUGACUUGUAAACAAAAAAUGCUUCUAAAGGAAAACAGAAAUAUUGAAUCUAGUGGAAUAAUUAAUGAUUUGAAAUAAAAAUGUAAUUAUUAUUGCAUUAAUAAAAGUAAGGAAAUAUAUUCAGAAGUUUGUUUUUGUUCGGCCAUAGUAUUUAGUAUAUAAGCUUAAGCUAUUUGUUAGGUCUUGGCAUGGAAAAGUUUGGGAACCCCUAUAAUAGAC
Cottoperca gobio is the source of this 881-nucleotide long non-coding RNA. The record is from Ensembl. NCBI's taxonomy places the organism in Eukaryota, Metazoa, Chordata, Actinopteri, Perciformes, Bovichtidae.